GGAUCAUUACUGAGUUUACGCUCUACAACCCUUUGUGAACAUACCUAUAACUGUUGCUUCGGCGGGUAGGGUCCCCGUGACCCUCCCGGCCUCCCGCCCCCGGGCGGGUCGGCGCCCGCCGGAGGAUAACCAAACUCUGAUUUAACGACGUUUCUUCUGAGUGGUACAAGCAAAUAAUCAAAACUUUUAACAACGGAUCUCUUGGUUCUGGCAUCGAUGAAGAACGCAGCGAAAUGCGAUAAGUAAUGUGAAUUGCAGAAUUCAGUGAAUCAUCGAAUCUUUGAACGCACAUUGCGCCCGCCAGCAUUCUGGCGGGCAUGCCUGUUCGAGCGUCAUUUCAACCCUCAAGCUCUGCUUGGUGUUGGGGCCCUACAGCUGAUGUAGGCCCUCAAAGGUAGUGGCGGACCCUCCCGGAGCCUCCUUUGCGUAGUAACUUUACGUCUCGCACUGGGAUCCGGAGGGACUCUUGCCGUAAAACCCCCCAAUUUUCCAAAGGUUGACCUCGGAUCAGGUAGGAAUACCCGCUGAACUUAAGCAUAUCAAUAA
This is a ribosomal RNA of 546 nucleotides. The stretch from base 182 to 335 matches the Rfam family "5.8S ribosomal RNA".